This 1332-nucleotide long non-coding RNA is filed under the name Gopherus agassizii (Agassiz's desert tortoise). RNAcentral describes it as "lncRNA (ENSGAGG00000016176.1)". The record is from RNAcentral. Lineage: Eukaryota; Metazoa; Chordata; Testudines; Testudinidae.
AUGUGUCAUAGCAACGGGAAACCCCACUACCAUGUCGCUGAGCCCACAGGGGAUGUGUACCUGGCCAGGUUACUCUCCUGUCCCCAGCCGCUGAGCAUGGAGACCCUGCAGGGUGUGCGGGAUGCACUGGAGACUCAGGGAGUGCUGGAUGAGGAGCUGGGAGCCUGCUUUGAGCGGACCCUGGCAGAGUUUCCCCAGGAGCCCCCGUGUGUGCAGAACAACGCAGAGAUGGUGAUCCAGAGCGAUGAGACUGAGCUGACGUUCCUCUCUGGGAAGGGCAAAUGUAAGAUCAGGAUCUCUGACAAUGGUGCCUGCUAUGAGGUUAAAGAGCCAACGGCCCAGGUGUACCUGGCCAGGUUAAAGUCCCGUCCCCAGAAGCUGAGCACCAAGUCCCUGCAGGGUGUGCGGGAUGCGCUGGAGAAGUGGGGGUUGCUGGACGAGGAGCUGGGAGCCUGCUUUGAGCGGGCCCUGGAGGAGUUCUCCCGGGAGCCCCACUGUGUGAAGUGCAACGCCCGGAUGGUGAUCAGGCAUGAGCACACCGAGCUGGUGUUUGUGUCAGGCCAGGGGCAAUGUGAGAUCACUGUGUCCGAAGGUGAGAGGGAGCCCUGCUACGAGGUGAAGGAGCCCACGGUGACGGUGUAUCAGGAGAGGUUACGCUCCCGCCCACAAAGGCUGAGCGUGGGGAACCUGCAGAGAAUUCGCGACAGGCUGGAGUCCUGGGAGGUGAUGACCAAGGAGCUGAGACGCUGCUUCGAUCUGGUGCUGAGGGAAUUCCCCAAAGAGCCGGAGUGCAUCCGGGACAACCCCAGGAUGUGCGUCGCCUGGGACGAGACAAAGCUGCGACUGGUGUCUGAAGAUGGGGACUGCGAGGUCUCCGUGACCUGCUGUGAUGGGAAGCCCAGCUACGAGGUGAAGGUGAAGAGCUGGGCAAUGUAUCGGGAGAAGAUGCGUCUCUCUGAAUGGCUGCUGAGCACUGAAAACCUGCAGAGUGUGCGGGAAGAGGUGCGGGGUCUUUCAGGGGCUCCUGAGAAGGUCAAGGAGGCCUUGAACGUGGCCAUUAGGGAUUUCUCCGCUGAGCCGCGCUGCCUGCAGGAGAACGCCCGGCUGGUCAUUGAGUGCGACAAGGGUGAGAUGGUCUUUGUCUCCGGGAAAGGGGAGAAUACAGUGGAUGUGUGCGUCAUCGAUGGGAAGGUCAGUUACAGUGUCGCAGCCACCAAGUGUAUGACUUUCCUUAGGAUGUUCCUGAAACUACCCUCCAAGAUCCCUGAGGCCUUGAAGAUGCUCAUCCCCAUCUUAGCCCAGUUCCUGCUAAUGGUGUUGAGAGCGCUGUGA